Molecule: non-coding RNA, 30 nt
Filed under: Homo sapiens (human)
Lineage: Eukaryota; Metazoa; Chordata; Mammalia; Primates; Hominidae
Source: RNAcentral
UGCAAUGAACACCAGACAGGUGGAGAAGGU